UGGGGAAUAUUGCACAAUGGGCGAAAGCCUGAUGCAGCGACGCCGCGUGAGGGAUGACGGCCUUCGGGUUGUAAACCUCUUUCAGUAGGGACGAAGCGCAAGUGACGGUACCUGCAGAAGAAGCACCGGCUAACUACGUGCCAGCAGCCGCGGAAAUACGUAGGGUGCGAGCGUGGUCCUGAAUUACUGGUCGUAAGGAGCACGUAGUCGGUUUUUCAACUCGUCUGUGAAAUCCUAGGGAUUAACCAUGGACGUGCAGGCUGUACUGGCAGACUUGAGUACUACACGGCAGAAUGGAAUUUCUGGUGUAGCGGUGGAAUGAACAGAUCUCAGGAAGAACACCGAUGGCGAAGGAAGGUAUCUGGGUAGUAACUGACGCUGAGGAGCGAAUGAAUGGGUAGCGAACAGG
RNAcentral lists this ribosomal RNA (409 nucleotides) under bacterium. RNAcentral describes it as "partial 16S ribosomal RNA". It matches the Rfam family "Bacterial small subunit ribosomal RNA", at positions 355 to 776 of the family's 1533-position model. The record is from RNAcentral.